RNAcentral lists this ribosomal RNA (433 nucleotides) under uncultured bacterium. Its description in RNAcentral is "partial 16S ribosomal RNA". It matches the Rfam family "Bacterial small subunit ribosomal RNA", at positions 29 to 507 of the family's 1533-position model. The record is from RNAcentral.
AACGAACGCUGGCGGCAUGCCUAACACAUGCCAGUCGAACGAGACCUUCGGGUCUAGUGGCGCACGGGUGCGUAACGCGUGGGAACCUGCCCUUAGGUUCGGAAUAACUCUCCGAAAGGGGUGCUAAUACCGGAUAAUGUCUUCGGACCAAAGAUUUAUCGCCUUUGGAUGGGCCCGCGUUGGAUUAGCUAGUUGGUAGGGUAAAAGCCUACCAAGGCGACGAUCCAUAGCUGGUCUGAGAGGAUGAUCAGCCACACUGGGACUGAGACACGGCCCAGACUCCUACGGGAGGCAGCAGUGGGGAAUAUUGGACAAUGGGCGAAAGCCUGAUCCAGCAAUGCCGCGUGAGUGAUGAAGGCCUUAGGGUUGUAAAGCUCUUUUACCCGGGAUGAUAAUGACAGUACCGGGAGAAUAAGCUCCGGCUAACUCCGUG